GGGAUAACUCAAGGAGGUUUUUCAUAUAUAAGAACUACAAUUUGUGUUCAGCAACUGAAUUAGGAUGGUUUGUCGUGGUGGACUUCUAUGGUUACACUUGCAAUUUUGACACUGCAAAUAAUUACCCAGUGUUUAGAUACACAGAAAGAUACGGUCGGUAGUUUCGACUAUAAUGGUAGGUAUAUAUACUUAUUAAACGAGUGUAUACGAUGUGAUUUAUAUACUUAUGUAAUAUGUGUAUACGAUGUAAUUUAUAUACUUAUGUAACGAGUGUAUACGAUGUAAUUUAUAUACUUAUGUAGCUAGUAUAUACCAUUUAUUUAACAAUUAAGUCAAACUAGCAAUUGGAUAUCUGGUGCCUUUUUGUCUGUUCAAAAUAAUGUUCUUCAUCGAUACGUUUCUUAAAUGGUUUGAAUAAAUGGAGGUGUAUUUUACGUAAUUUAGAAUGCAAAAGCUUCACGCUCCUAAGUUAACAUUAAAAAAAAGUAUUUAUCGAGAAACAUGAGUUCAAUUAUUUCUUAUAAAAUUGUCGACUAAAGACAAAUGUACAUGAUUUUCAAAUUAUUAUUUUAUGAGUAGUCAGAUCAUUGUUUUGGUAUGACGUCGCUAAAGAUGAUAAGAUUAUAACUCAGACGUCUCAAAACUAAAGUGCCAUCUUUAAAAGCAAUUAUUUCUGUCUUGAUAUAUAAAUACGAUACUAGAACUUAUUCAUGAGUACAUUAACACUAAAACUUGCACGAUACGUUUUUCUAGUUACCAAUGAUAUUUAAACAAAUCACCUGCAAUUGUAACGAAAAGCUCAACUGUAAAUCAGCUUACAUUUUUCGAAUAAGAUAGACACUUUUGCCACUAUUGAAACAAAUGUGUAUACAUCGAUAAGAUAUCAAUAGUAUUCAGAACCUGCAUGAGGAUUUUUUUUAUCUAAAACAUAGCGCAACAAUUCAAUGCUAUGUAUAUAAACUCAUCAUAGAUACCAGGAGUAAAUUUAGUAUAUGCGCGUUUCGUCUACAAAAGACUCAUCAGUGACGCUCGAAUCCAAAAAAGUUAAAAAGGCCAAAUAAAGUACGAAGUUGAAGAGCAUUGAGAACCAAAAUUCCUACAAGUUUUGCCAAAUACAGCUAAGGUAAUCUAUGCCUGAGGUAGAAAAUCCUUAGUAUUUUAAAAAAAUCAAAAAUUUGUAAACAUUAAAUUUAUAAAUAUAACCAUAUCAAUGACAAUUCAAUGCUAUGUAUCAUUUCUGAAAGUCCGUGUAAAUGAUCUGGUAACAAGGAAACUAUGAUGAAAAGGGCGAAAAGUAAAGCAAAAGUUAACAAAUUUCAUAGACACAAUUCGCCGUUUCAAAUUCCAAUGCACCCUGGGAAACAUUUUCAAAAGUGUGCACCGAAACGUCGUGAUUGGUUAAUAAUUUCAUAAUCAAUGUCAUUAACCAUUGACGUGACGUUAUUUCAAUUUUGAGGUACGAACGAUGAAAUUACCCAUGAUUUUUAAGAUUCUGAAUUAAGUUGACCACAGAUAUACCUUUAAAUGAUGUCAUGUCCUUUUCAUCAGUGGUCGUGACACCACCAACUGCCUAUCUUUACAAGACAUUAUCAGUAGAGCGGGUUCCUUUAGAGCAUCAUACCUUUUAGUUUUAGAAUGAGCCAAAAAGAUAUUUUUUAAGAACAUAUCAUCAGUCAAUAAAGAAAACAGUAAUAUGCCGCUGAAGUAUACGACAUAUGCUCAUAUCUAAUUUUACACAAAGCUAUGUUUUUGACAAAGUUUAAGCGCCACAAAGAAAUUAGUCCGAAAAUGUACAGAUAAUGAUAUACUAUUCAUUUAUGAAAAUAACCAAUCUGAAAUUUAAAGAUUUGAAGAUAUCUUUUUUUUUUUUUUUUUGCAACUCCAGGGGUAAAGUCAUUUAUUUCGUCAUACCUUCUCCAUUUGAAAGAAAAAUAAAUAAAGCGAAAACAAUUGAUCCACACACUGUUACUAUCAAAGACAACGCAGAUAAAGUAAAACCGCACACGAUUCAACACUGUAGCCAUUUCAUCCACUGUGAAAUAAGAGUACGAUUGAAGGGAUUAGGAAGUAUCAGCUGUUGAUGCUCGGCCAUCAACAUUCAUUUUCAUUCAUAAAAUUAUACCUUCUAUUUCUUUUAUUAAUUAGGUCCUUUCACUUUUCCGUGGAAAGACCUAUUGGUUUUCUUCUGAUUAUUUUUUCUUUUUCUUCCGCCUAAGUUUUUCCUUCGCUGUUUUUUUUUUGUUUCACAAGAUGUUGCUUAGAUAUUUGGAAUGUGAUAUCGAACAGUUAAUACACUUUUGAAACUGACACCGCUUAACCGAAUACUUUCCCAUAUAAGAGUUAUCUCCCCGAACACUGUUUUUCUUGUGAUCUAUAAAGCUUCGCAACCGUAUAAGAAACAGACAAAUUUAUUUUAUCAAAUUGCUCGUUAUAUCCUCAGGAUGUUCUGUUUGAUUUUGACCGAAGUCGUAUAUAGAUUUCAUAUGAGAGUUUCCCCCCUUUUAUGUUUGAUAUAAGUAAUAUGCAUUUCUAACUGGUAAACCAUAAGUGAUAGAAACCUAGGGUCUUUAGAUUUGAUGUCCUUAGUCCAAAAAAAUGAAGAUUACGUCAAGGUCAAAGGUCAAGGUCAUUUUCUAAAUUUUGAUUUUGGCUUAUUUUCACUUAUUUUCAAUAACCGUAAAAGAUAUCAACAAAUUAUUUUUACCAAAUUGUUAGUAGCGACAUGUCGUAACGUUUAAAUAUUAAUUGAGAGGGUUGACUGUAAAUGGGAGUUUUCUCCCCUUUAAUAUUUAGAAUAAUGUGUUAAGUGAUAUAACUCAUUAUCCUUCCAUAUUAUCGACCUAGGGUCUCUUGAGUUGAGGUCCUUAGUUUAUGACCUUGAAAUUGAGGUCAAGGUCAUAGACAAAUUCGACGUUCUAGAUUUUGACUUUUGCUUGAAAUUCAUAUUUAUACAUCAUAAAGCCAUAGGAAUUGACAUUGAAACUGAAUUUCAAUGUUUUCAUAUCAAAAUAUAUUGUUAGUGGUGGAAAGACCUUCAAUUGUUCUUUGAACAAUUGGUUUUUAAUUGUAAUUGUAUUUUUUUCACAGGUUACCAAGAUGGAGACGUAUUUUCGAUUUUCAUUUC
This 3124-nucleotide long non-coding RNA is filed under the name Mytilus galloprovincialis (Mediterranean mussel). The record is from RNAcentral. Lineage: Eukaryota; Metazoa; Mollusca; Bivalvia; Mytilida; Mytilidae.